Long non-coding RNA from Symphalangus syndactylus (siamang), 4421 nucleotides. RefSeq lists it as uncharacterized. NCBI's taxonomy places the organism in Eukaryota, Metazoa, Chordata, Mammalia, Primates, Hylobatidae. The record is from RefSeq and is a predicted model, not a curated record.
ACCCUCGUGACGGGGCCAAGCUGACGAUUAGCGAGUACGCACCUCUCCUCGCAGGCUCCGGUGGGAGAGGCUCCUGGAAGGGCGCGAGCCAGGAAAGUAGAGACAGUGAAGAGAUGAAGACCGCGCGGGGUAGUUGUUUGGAAAGGCUCGGAUCACCCCCAACCCAGCCCCGUCUCGUCCGGCCCCAAAAGGCCCAUCUCGGCCGAGCUACUUACACUUUGUACGGCAGCCGUGGGUCCGACGUCAGCGUGAUCUUAAAGGAAACCUUCGACCUGAGGAAAGGAGCGGGAGAGAGUCAGGGUCGGGCAGCUGGACCAGGAAUUAAAGCAGUCGGUUCCCUUGGAGUUCUCUGCUGGUGGGUUUCUGCUCUGAUUGAUGUCAGAGUGGGAUUCAAAGUAGAACUCCAGUGACUCCAAGGAGCACCAAGUCACCAAAAGACAUGGUCUCACUCUGCAGUGGUGCAAUAUCAACUCACUACAACCUAGAACUCCUGGGCUCAAGCAAUCCUUCUGCCUCAACCUCCCUAGCUGCUGCGACUACAGGUGUAUGGAAGGUGACAACGUGCCAGCCAAAGAAGAAUGCUCAAUGAGCACCACCCAACCGGAGCAAGGAUGUGGCAGGCUCUGGGUACAGACAGAUGGAAGUCUCUGGCAAGCUCUUCUUUAUAUUUUUCUCACUCUGUGGAUAAAUACAGGCACUCACAGAUAUCAUUGUAAAUUUCAGUUGCUAUUUCUAGGGAGCCCAAUGUUGUGUGCAGUAUUAUAAGGGAAUGGUGGCUCUUGUGUGAAGAUUUACCUCACUGCAUUGUCAUCCUCUGAUGAUACCCCCAGGAAAUACAUCCCAGAGUUCAAGGAACAGAAAGACACACUGACCAAGUAGAGAUUUUCAAAUAACAUAGACUGGUAACUCAAUUAAAAACACACAGUGGAGGGUCAAGGGAAAAAAAUAAAGGUAAAAUAACCCACUUAGGAUAGAGUGCAACGAAGACAGAAAAGACAUACUGAGUCCCUAGAUAUGUUCUAUCAGAGAAACACAGUUAGAAGUAUGCCUGGCCAAGCUGUAGUUCAUCAUUUAACCUGAUGAGCAGCUGUAGACUUUAUUUAUGUCUCUUGGGAAACCACAGGUAGGGUCAGAAGGGUUUCACAAAUGGUUGGUCAAUUUAAGAACUCAUAAAUAUUGUGUGCCUUCAUAAGCCUCAUGAAUUUGUUAUGUAUUGGGAGUAUUAUAUGCCACAGGUAUAUGCAGUGUAUUAUGAAUAUUAAGUGCCACUUGAUCUUUCUGUCUUUAUGUUUGGUGCAUACCUGUUUCAUUUGUGUUAUCUAUUCCUAACCCAUAAUAUAGUUUACUGAUUUACUUAAUAUUUUCAUGAAUUCUGUCUAUGCCUCACAAGCUACUUGUCUCCACAUCGAAUUUAUCAUCAUUUGUCUCUUUUUCCUAUUUCCUAUAGCAGAAUUGAAUCAUCUUAAAUAAUAAAGGAAAUUCACAUUACAUUAAAAGUGAGAGAGGACUUUCUAGGGAGAAGGGAAAUGUAAAAGCUGGGAGAAUUGGGUCAGCAAUAGUUGAGACGACAUUAUAAUUUAACAUAGUUGUAGUGAAUGUUGGGAGAUAAUGAAAAAAGAUAACAUAGUGAGUCCAUGUCUGUUUUACAAGGUUGAUGAUUAGUGCUUUCUUAUUAGAAACAGGAGUGUCUGCUACAAACAGGAAUGCCUGCUAUGCUGUUUCUACCUUAGAAUAUGAGACUCACUCUUAAAAGGUCCAGAGUGAGGCCGGGCGCGGUGGCUCACGCUUGUAAUCCCAGCACUUUGGGAGGCCGAGGCGGACGGAUCACGAGGUCAGGAGAUCGAGACCACGGUGAAACUCUGUCUCUACUAAAAAAUACAAAAAAUUAGCCGGGCGUGGUGGCGGGCGCCUGUAGUCCCAGCUACUCGGAGAGGCUGAGGCAGGAGAAUGGCGUGAACCCGGGAGGCGGAGCUUGCAGUGAGCCGAGAUUGCGCCACUGCACUCCAGCCUGGGCGACAGAGCGAGACUCCGUCUCAAAAAAAAAAAAAAAAAAAGGUCCAGAGUGAGAUAACUAUCUUCUGUCUUUAGGUCUAAUUAUCACCUUUUCCUUAAGCAUUGCCUCCCUUAGGAACAGCAUCUUCACAGCGUGAUCGAUGGAGAAGAUAUUCACUCCUCAGGAUAGACUCCAUUUUCUACCCAAAGUCCCAGCAACACAAUUACCACAAAGCAGGGAGUUUGUCUCACUGAAACGUUAAAGGAAGAUAAAAUGCUGUUUAAGUCCCAUUGUAGCUGAGGAAGUAACGAGAGAUCUCACAAUGCCAGCACCUCCACCUCAGAGAUCUCCAGGCCAAACGCCCAAGUACAGAAGGAAGGAAUGGCUAGAAUCUGGUUUGGCAAUUGCUGAAAACCGUGAAGAAUAAGAUAGGUGACUAGGAUCCAGGGAAAUAAUUCACUUUUCAAAAAAAAGGGACCCCUUUAGCACACACUGCCUUAAAUUGGAGUGGGUUCUUCAGCAGCAAACAAUUGGCCAAAAGAUAAGAACAAGCAAGAAAGCAAACAAAUAAAAGUAACAACAAAAUUUAAGAACCCCUUGCAUGGAAGAGAUGCUUAUUUCCUCUGGACUGAAAGAUGGCAUCAGAAGUGGGAUCUAAAGUAAAGCUUCUAACAAUCCCCAUGAGCACUGAGUGACCAAGCAAGGUACCCGCCAGGCCUGUUCUGUCUGUUGCUCUCGCAGAGCAGCUGGGGAUCGUGGUAUGAUGAGACCAAAAGACCAGGAGACAACUGCUGAAGGUUAUUACAACUCCAGAUCCAAAGGGAAAGGGACACGUGACACCAUCGGGGAGACACAUGGAGAAGCACCAAGAUGACAGAAACUUCAUUGGCUUUGGCAAAGCAGAAAUUUAUUAGCUUACAAGGUUUAAAAAAGCCCUGAAUCUCAGAGAGAUUACAUAGCUUUGCCAGUGUCAUACACCUAAAUAAGAAGGAAGGAGAAGUCUUCUAGCUUCAGAACCCAAGCUUCCUUCAAUGAACUGCAAACUGCCAAUAAACUACUGAAGGAUCUCCAGUUUCUCAACCUGGGCACUAUUAACAUUUUGGACCAGUAACACUUUGUUGAGGGAAGCUGUCCUAUGCGUUGUAGAAUGCUUAGCAGAAUUCCUGGCCUCUACACAUUUGAUUACGGGAGACUGGGUAGUCAUUGAGACAUAUGUUCUGCUUACGAGGAGAGUAACUUGAGCAACGUUACCCACCUCUAUCUGGAAACACAGGGUUAUUUAGUACAUUGAAAUUCCAGACAUAACUAUCUGUUCAGUAGCAGCGGUUCCUAUCAGACAACAACUUCCCUGUUCAUUUUGUGCUAGUAGAAUGGAACUUCAUGGACCUUGGAGAAGCAUACUCCAAACACUACAAAUGAUGGUGAUACUUUGGAGAGAUGCUAAGACAGCAGAUGCUAAAAUCCAGAUAUCUUUUGUGAAUAUGAGGCAUAUCUACUGGGAACACAUCAUAUUAAUUUGUUGAGGUAAACUUUGAAGAUGGUGGCAAUAAGCAGUUGGAGAAAAAGAAAAAUAUCAACAUGCAAGGCACCGUUGUUUUCUUCUUAAUUGUAACUUUUUACUUUUUGUGUCUAUGGCUAUCACAGAGAUUUAAAAAUUAAUCAUUGAAAAUGAUUAAUAGAAUCGACCUGUGAGCAUCAACACAGAAAUGGAUAAAGAAAAUGUGUUAUAUACACAGUGGGAUACCAUUAAGCCUAAAAAUGAAGGAAAUCUUGUCAUUCACAGCAACAUGGGUGAGCCUGGGGGGGGCAUUAUGUUCAGUGAAAUAAGUCAGGCACAGAAAGAUAAAUACCACCUGUUCUCACUUAUAUGUGAGAGCUAAAAGCAGCUCAGCUUAUAAAAGUAGAGGGUAGAAUUGUUUAGUAUUAGAGGUUUGGAAUGGUAGGGAGGAGAAGAAGAUAGCUAGAAGUUGGUUAACAGACAUAAAAUUGUCUAGAUGGAGAGAAAGUUCCAGUGUGCCGUAGCACUGUAGGAUGACUAUAGUUAACCAUAAUCUACCAUAUUUUCCAAUAGCAGGAAGAGAGAACUUUGAAUGUUUGAAGUGCUGGACAUUCUCACCACUCUGAGUUGAUUAUUACACAUUGCACACAUGCAUCAAAACAUCACUCUGUAUCCUAUAAAUAUGUACAAUAUUACAUGGCAACUCAAAAUAAGAAAAAAUGAAAUCUUGAUUUAUUAUUAUCUAAUUUCAGUAUUUUACCACUUUCCUCCAAAUGCAAAAGCAAUUUAGUACUAUUUUUCAGCAUCCCAUUGUCUUGCAUUUUACUAUACAUUUUACAAAUCCCAUACUACAUGUAUUUUUUCCCUAGUAUUGAUUCACAUAUACCUACACACGUCCGUACUUUCACCUGGGAUUCCUUUGUUUUAGUC